Long non-coding RNA from Rhipicephalus microplus (southern cattle tick), 1517 nucleotides. Lineage: Eukaryota; Metazoa; Arthropoda; Arachnida; Ixodida; Ixodidae. The record is from RefSeq and is a predicted model, not a curated record.
UCGGCAUUCACUUGGGAAGCGGCGGUCGUCAGAACUAUAAUGAUGGCGCCACUCAAGUAGGGGGUAUCUUCAAAGAGGUUUUUAUGUUUUCGGAGCUUAUGUGCAACAAAAAUAACGUUGAAAAGUUUUAAAAAGGCGUAAGCGUAGUUAUAAUUAACCCUACAUAAGUGACGCCGUCAUUCAGCAAGCAACUUUUUUAAUACAAGGCAUCCUCUAAAAUUAAUAACAAACGCCUAAUUGCCGAUCUUAAAGGCCGAGUACAAAGACCCUUACACCUACGUAGGCAUCGUCGCCAUAGAUGACCGGCAUUUCGCGCUCAUCUGGCAGGCACGGGAAAUCUAGGAGGCGUUCACUGGGAGAACACGAGACGUGAAGCUCAGUGCUGUACAGGUCAAGUGUAUACCAUGCAACAAGAGCUUCACUGGGCCAAAAAGUUAUGCGGAGCACAGGGAAAGCAAGCAGCAUCAAAGGCGCUGCGGUGAAAUCCCCUCUGUCGCAUCCCCGCCAUCACGUCUACCAAGUGCACCAGAUUUGUCCCCGUCGCAAAAUCCUAAGCAGCAAACCAUACAAGUGCCUGACAUGCAAUGAAAGAUUCCCUGGACCAGAAAGCUAUGAAAAGCAUGGGGACUUCAGUAUCGACGGCAAAGGAUGCCUCUCUGGAGAACUCUCUUCACCCGCAAUCAAAAAUUUAAUUCAAUGCAACGCCUGCAAUACCGAUAUCUCUGGCAUCCAGAACAUGAAGGAGCAUGACAAGGGAAAAAAAGCACAGAAAGGCUUUGGUCGUGCUUCAGGGCUCUUCCUCGGUGUGCCUUGAUGUUCCUGCAGACAAAUCAUGUUCAUCAUCUUAUACAGUGUAUAAAGACAUGCCAUCAUCUCCACUGAUGUUGCGUAUGCCAAAUGUUCAGUCAUUAGAAGACGAUAAUGAUUUCUCUCUAGAAACCAUUGUCGUUGGACACUCUAGAUCCAAACACUUUCAGCUCGAACCCCCACAAUGUUCCUUCUGGCUCAAUAUCAUUUGCUGCCCGUGUUCAUGUUUCUUCCACCAAUAAUAAAGGGAAGCACAGUGAGGCUGUAAGGCCUGUGGAGGACGGAGACCAGGAGCAAUGUGUAAACCUCAUAAGCAGUGCGGAAGGUCGCGCUGCCGCAGACAUUGGUGUCAAUCCUGUUUACAGUGAUAAUGGGACGAAAUGCGAAGUGGGUGGCCUUACAGGGUACGGUUGUAAGAAGUGUGGCAUCCUCUUAUUUAUAAAUAUAGAGGCAGCAAAGCAGCACUACAGAAGCGAUAGUCAUAGGGCUGCUGAGUGCCCACCUCCCCCAUUUUUUUAAUCAUUUUAAGAAAUCUUUUAGUUUUUUAGGCUGCAAAAAAACAUUUGCGAGCUUGUGCUAAUUAUGUAUCUGUCGAAUCUACCCCGUGUUCUUCGUUAAACCUUGUGUUUAAACAGACUAGCAUGUUAAUUGCAUUUUAUUUAUAAUUUAUAAGGAGUUCGACAUUAUUUGCCUCUACCCAUUUCCAGGAU